GGGUCCUUAGCUCAGUUGGUAGAGCACCUGCCUUUUAAGCAGAGGGUCGGGGGUUCGAUUCCCUCAGGGCCCA
This 73-nucleotide transfer RNA is filed under the name Patescibacteria group bacterium. Its description in RNAcentral is "tRNA-Lys". It matches the Rfam family "tRNA". Rfam says of the family: Transfer RNA (tRNA) molecules are approximately 80 nucleotides in length. Their secondary structure includes four short double-helical elements and three loops (D, anti-codon, and T loops). Further hydrogen bonds mediate the characteristic L-shaped molecular structure. tRNAs have two regions of fundamental functional importance: the anti-codon, which is responsible for specific mRNA codon recognition, and the 3' end, to which the tRNAs corresponding amino acid is attached (by aminoacyl-tRNA synthetases). tRNAs cope with the degeneracy of the genetic code in two manners: having more than one tRNA (with a specific anti-codon) for a particular amino acid; and 'wobble' base-pairing, i.e. permitting non-standard base-pairing at the 3rd anti-codon position. The record is from RNAcentral. RNAcentral also lists the same sequence under 1 other name.